CCGUACUAAUCGGGGAGUCAGCGGUGCCCUGUACCUGCAACCCGCUACAGCAGGGAUGAAUUCCGGCCCCCGGUUUUGCGGUGUAUUGUCUGACCCUUGUAAGCAGUGAUGACGAACCGGUCUUGCGCAACGAAGCCCCGUGAACCAUGUCAGGCGGGAGACCGAGCAGCAUUAAGCGGUGCGCUUCGUGUGCCGUGAGGCAGCCGAUUCCGAGCCGGCUGCAGGGGUUACGGGUAUAUCGCAAUUAUCAAAGGCCGGUGUACGG
Molecule: signal recognition particle RNA, 265 nt
Filed under: Papillibacter sp.
Lineage: Bacteria; Bacillati; Bacillota; Clostridia; Eubacteriales; Oscillospiraceae
Description: signal recognition particle sRNA large type
Rfam family: Bacterial large signal recognition particle RNA
About the family: The signal recognition particle (SRP) is a universally conserved ribonucleoprotein involved in the co-translational targeting of proteins to membranes. Archaeal SRP consists of a 7S RNA and homologues of the eukaryotic SRP19 and SRP54 proteins.
Source: RNAcentral